Molecule: ribosomal RNA, 486 nt
Filed under: uncultured bacterium
Lineage: Bacteria
Description: partial 16S ribosomal RNA
Rfam family: Bacterial small subunit ribosomal RNA
Source: RNAcentral
AUUGAACGCUGGCGGCAUGCCUUACACAUGCAAGUCGAACGGCAGCACGGGUGCUUGCCCCUGGUGGCGAGUGGCGAACGGGUGAGUAAUACAUCGGAACAUGUCCUGUAGUGGGGGAUAGCCCGGCGAAAGCCGGAUUAAUACCGCAUACGAUCUACGGAUGAAAGCGGGGGACCUUCGGGCCUCGCGCUAUGGGGUUGGCCGAUGGCUGAUUAGCUAGUUGGUGGGGUAAAGGCCUACCAAGGCGACGCUCAGUAGCUGGUCUGAGAGGACGACCAGCCACACUGGGACUGAGACACGGCCCAGACUCCUACGGGAGGCAGCAGUGGGGAAUUUUGGACAAUGGGCGAAAGCCUGAUCCAGCAAUGCCGCGUGUGUGAAGAAGGCCUUCGGGUUGUAAAGCACUUUUGUCCGGAAAGAAAUCCUUGGCCCUAAUACGGUCGGGGGAUGACGGUACCGGAAGAAUAAGCACCGGCUAACUACGUG